Molecule: long non-coding RNA, 1429 nt
Filed under: Homo sapiens (human)
Lineage: Eukaryota; Metazoa; Chordata; Mammalia; Primates; Hominidae
Description: HSALNT0223410
Source: RNAcentral
CAAGAGUUCUUAUUUCUUUUUGCAUGGCUCAUGCGAAGGUACGCUUCAAGACCUAACUCAAAUGUCACUGUCUCUGGGAAACGUUUUCUGAUCUCCCCAACCCUGCUUGUCUUCCAUUGCCUCCCUACCUCCAGCUGUGAGCACUGGAGAAUAGGGAUGCAUCUUCCCUAUCUUUCUGUUCCCAGACUAGCACAAUGACAACCUGAGUAGAUGCUCAGUAGACACACAAAUAAAUAAACAUUUCUUCACUAUAAUUCAUACACUAAUCCCAAGAAGAAACUCCUGGCUUAAAAAAUAAAAAUACAGUUGAGCCAUGAACAAUGCGGAGUUAGGGGCACCAACUCCCAGCACAGUAGAAAAUCCAAGUAUAACUUUUGACUCCUCAUACACUGAACUACCAAUAACCUACUGUUGACCAGAAUCCUCACCAAUAACAUAAACAUAUUUUUUAUGUUAUAUGUAUUAUAUACUUCAUUCUUACAAUAAAAGAAGCUACAGAAAAGAAAAUGUUAUUAAGAAAGCCACAGGAUGACAAAAUACAUUUACAGUACUGUGCUGUAUCAAUACCAUCAGUUUACACGUCUGUUUACAAGACGAAUCCUCUGUCUGAAAUGUCAGGAGACUGCAGCUGCAGACUGCAAUCUAUGACACAUAUCAAGCAAUUCAACUGUUUCUUGUAAUGUCAUGACUUUUCUCUGCUCCUUGGGACCCUUUCCAGCUUCAGUAGAGGCAUGGUGUUAUUCAAGGUUUACGGUAUUGCACUAAAGAGGAUGAAAAGUAUGCAAGAACCACAAGAGAUCACUUUCCAUUGAGAUCUGCAAUUUACCGGAGAAACAAUUGCUCAUGUGGAGAUGAUUAGCGUCACAGGGCGUUUUAAGCGGAUACUCACAACACUUGAGCUCACCGCAACAGCAGCAGGAGGUGGCUAUGAAAUCAUUACAGUAGCACAGCAUGUACUACAGAUGCGAACUUCAGCCUCUCCAGUCUUGGGACUCCAGGACUUGCACUAUUGGCCCCUUGGUUCUCAGGCCUUCGGUCUCCAACUGAGAGUUACACCAUCAGUUUCCGCGGUUCUGAGGCUUUUGAACUUGGACUGGGGCACCCUACCGGCCCCACUGGGUCACCAGCGUGCAGACAGCCUGUGGUGGAACUUCUCAGCCUCCAUAAUUGUGUCCUGCCUGGGCACAUGAACUCUUCUAGUCAAAGUAUAAGCCACGUCAAUAAGCUGAUGUAAUUUGCAAAUACAGGAGGCAAGCAAGUUUAUAAAACAAUUGGUUUGUAGUGUUUGUGUUUCUGUAUGUCUCUGUGUGUGUGAGAAAGACUGACUUGUGAAAUUACCCUAAAAGUGUUCCCCUUUACAUCAGUUGAAGUGUUGGAUACUGUCAGGCCAUUCUAGUUCUUUUAAAAUAAACCAUUUUGCUGGAGAAAU